RNAcentral lists this long non-coding RNA (212 nucleotides) under Hordeum vulgare. RNAcentral describes it as "long non-coding RNA (HVUL_LNC019739)". The record is from RNAcentral. Lineage: Eukaryota; Viridiplantae; Streptophyta; Magnoliopsida; Poales; Poaceae.
CUAGGCUACGGUGAGAUUAUUCUCGAUGAGGUAGUUUGCAGCAAAUUGGUUUUCAGACUCUAGUCGGAUUCGUUGAUGAAGGUACUUCUCUGGCCGCUCUUUGUCCACGAAAAGUCAGCGGAGGAUUUGUCCAAAGCGGUUUUAAUGUCCAACACUGUUAUGCCACUUCUGGUGCUGAUGGCAGGAGAGGCGUCAGCGGCAAGGCCCAAGGC